This 1209-nucleotide long non-coding RNA is filed under the name Scophthalmus maximus (turbot). RNAcentral's name for it is "lncRNA (ENSSMAG00000021636.1)". The record is from RNAcentral. Lineage: Eukaryota; Metazoa; Chordata; Actinopteri; Pleuronectiformes; Scophthalmidae.
AUGGGCCGGAGAGAAAAAAAGUUCUCCCACUCCGAGCCGCUCAAGAGGAGAUAUAGGACCCGAGGCGCUGCGUUUGAAGAUCCGCACUCCGCUUGGCUUUGUGUCCGGGGGCAGACGGAGAGCUCGGGUGACCCGCCGGGGCAGAGGUCACGCUCAUCAAGAGUGGGUUUGGAGUGUGACAGACUACAGUGGGCUGAACUGCAGACAGGCUGAGUGAUUCCACUCUCCGUCAAGUCGUCCUCCUCCAGUCUGCUGGUCUGCUGUUCGUCUGGACGCUGCAGUGUUGGACUACAAGGUUGAGCACACAUGGCGGAAUAAGAGCGGACUGAGUAGGUCUUUCGUGAAGUCUGGCUGUCCAUGUGUGUGACGCCGGAGUUGCAGGUAAACCCAUUUGCUGUUUUCUCUAUCAAGAAACACCACAGUUAUUUCCAGAUGCUACAUGAAACCUUUUAAAAUGUUAUUGCCAAAUGCAAUAUUUUAUUUAAACUGCACAUAACUACACAUACAGAACUCAUGAGCGUGCUCUGAUGGUGAUGCUUGUGGAAAGUCCAUGGGGUCACUCAAGGCCAUGGGGUUACAAUGGGACCAUUUAAGGUGAACAAUUUAACGACAACAAUUGUUAGAUUGUAAGAUUUUUACAUUUCAAUCAGAUGCUGUUGCUAGAGGAAAGGGACCACCUCUUUGGUUCACCACCAGUCCAAACUUUUCACUUUGGACUGGCGGUGUUACAAGAAAGGUCCUGGGGUCACCAAAAUCAUACAUAAAUACCCUGACUGUUCAUUUCCAUGCUAGAUUAUUUGGCAGUCUGACCAGUAUCUGUCUGCUUGCUGUACUUGGACAUUAAAGGGCCAUAAAUAAUACUUUUUGCCUUCAUUUCAUAUUCAUGUUGUAGAAAAAGUCAGGGACCAUGGGCAUGAAGGUGUGUGGUAUGGGCCCCAUGACUAGGCCACUGGAGUGACCCCAUCCAAUAGCUGUUAAGAUAUUUCAGUCUGAAACAGAGCAGUGGACCAAUCGACUGUCACACCGACAUUGCCAUCCAGAGUCAUGAGUCUAGCGUGGCUGAUAAAAAAACAUCUCAUGUACCAUCUCAUGUAAGAUGUACAGUAAUAUCAAUGAAGGCUGAACUGUUCCUCUUCUGCUGCUGCUGCUCUCCAUUUCUUUCUCACUAAAACACAUUCAACUCUCCUCCCAAUGUCGGAACAUUUCUAG